UCCAUCCUGAAACCCUAGGAAAUUCAUUUUCUUCCCCCAUCCUCCCUGGUGGCAGCCGCCAGCAGGAGGCGGAGCCGCGGAGGCGCGGUCGCUCUCGCGCGCGGAAGCUAAGAUCCCCGUCGUCCUCCUCCCAGAUACGAUCCACCCCUCUCCUUUCUGGUCUAGUGUCCCCCCAUCAGAUCAUCAUGCUUGGCUAGGCCCUCCUCAUGGAGGCCUCACGGAGUGGGUUGGUCAGCGGCCGGCGGUCAAGUCGUUGGGCACGUCGGAGUUUGGUGAUGAUGCGCCGGCGAGCUGCAGCAGUUCAUUCGGCCAGAAGCAGAACGCCUAGAUGAAAAGUAGUCAUACUUGUGUCGCUUGAGUCUUGUUCCUCUCACUGCUUCUCUGACGCUUGGGUGGAAUAUUUGUAGAAAUCGACCUUAUUGAGCUUAUUGUAUACAGAGUGCUUGUGUUGUUUGAUCAUUUUCCUUAGCUGAUUGGUUGCAAGUACAAGCAAUGUGUUAACUGGACUGUUGUGCAAGUAGUAUUAUCGUUCUUAUCUUUGAUGCUUGUAUCAUCUUUUUUUUGAAUAGAAUGCCUGUUUUUAUGU
Molecule: long non-coding RNA, 586 nt
Organism: Panicum virgatum (switchgrass)
Lineage: Eukaryota; Viridiplantae; Streptophyta; Magnoliopsida; Poales; Poaceae
Exons: 2
Source: RefSeq, a predicted model, not a curated record